GCUAAGUCUAAGACCCAUGUAAAUAAUGUAUGAUUAUGUAAGAGGUACGCGUGAUCUAGCACGUGUACAUAAAGAUAUGUACGAGUGUAUGCAUGUAUGUAAUGAUGUAGGAAAGGGAAGAUAUGUACGUAUGUAGAUGUGUAUGUAUGUAUGUAAUUACGCAUGUAUGCAUAAUUUAGUCACGUUGAGGGCUAACGUUAUUAAUGGGGCACCUUGAGAAUGGAAAGUAAUGCAGGUACAUUAUUGAAGCCUCACCAGGAAAUGGAUACGCAUAUGAAAUGCUUAAAGUUUGAAAGAUGACGAAAUGUGAAGUGUACGCGAAUGAAUCUUGUUAUAUAAUGUGUACUAAUGUUAUGAAUGUAUGUGGUGAGUGCAGGUUAUACGGAUAACGGGCGGAUUAUCACAAGAAUUAGAGAUCGAAGACCGAGUC
RNAcentral lists this long non-coding RNA (430 nucleotides) under Helianthus annuus (common sunflower). RNAcentral describes it as "sRNA HanXRQr2_Chr10g0418291". The record is from RNAcentral. Lineage: Eukaryota; Viridiplantae; Streptophyta; Magnoliopsida; Asterales; Asteraceae.